GACGAACGCUGGCGGCGUGCUUAACACAUGCAAGUCGAACGGAAAGGCCCUUCGGGGUACUCGAGUGGCGAACGGGUGAGUAACACGUGGGUGAUCUGCCCUGCACUUUGGGAUAAGCCUGGGAAACUGGGUCUAAUACCGAAUAGGACCGCGCGCUUCAUGGUGUGUGGUGGAAAGCUUUUGCGGUGUGGGUUGGGCCCGCGGCCUAUCAGCUUGUUGGUGGGGUAAUGGCCUACCAAGGCGACGACGGGUAGCCGGCCUGAGAGGGUGACCGGCCACACUGGGACUGAGAUACGGCCCAGACUCCUACGGGAGGCAGCAGUGGGGAAUAUUGCACAAUGGGCGCAAGCCUGAUGCAGCGACGCCGCGUGAGGGAUGACGGCCUUCGGGUUGUAAACCUCUUUCACCAGGGACGAAGCGCAAGUGACGGUACCUGGAGAAGAAGCACCGGCCAACUACGUG
This 462-nucleotide ribosomal RNA is filed under the name uncultured bacterium. RNAcentral's name for it is "partial 16S ribosomal RNA". It matches the Rfam family "Bacterial small subunit ribosomal RNA", at positions 28 to 507 of the family's 1533-position model. The record is from RNAcentral.